GACAGAGGAUGCAAACGUUGCUCGGAUUUACUGGGCGUAAAGCGCAUGUAGGCGGUUUCGUAAGUCAGACGUGAAAUCCCGGGGCUCAACCUCGGAAGUGCAUCUGAUACUGCGAGACUGGAGUACUGGAGAGGAGAGCGGAAUUCCCGGUGUAGAGGUGAAAUUCGUAGAUAUCGGGAGGAACACCAGUGGCGAAGGCGGCUCUCUGGACAGAUACUGACGCUGAGAUGCGAAAGCGUGGGGAGCAAACAGG
RNAcentral lists this ribosomal RNA (253 nucleotides) under uncultured bacterium. Its description in RNAcentral is "partial 16S ribosomal RNA". It matches the Rfam family "Bacterial small subunit ribosomal RNA", at positions 524 to 776 of the family's 1533-position model. The record is from RNAcentral.